UGGGGAAUAUUGGACAAUGGGCGAAAGCCUGAUCCAGCCAUGCCGCGUGUGUGAAGAAGGUCUUCGGAUUGUAAAGCACUUUAAGUUGGGAGGAAGGGCAGUAAGCGAAUACCUUGCUGUUUUGACGUUACCGACAGAAUAAGCACCGGCUAACUCUGUGCCAGCAGCCGCGGUAAUACAGAGGGUGCAAGCGUUAAUCGGAAUUACUGGGCGUAAAGCGCGCGUAGGUGGUUCGUUAAGUUGAAUGUGAAAGCCCCGGGCUCAACCUGGGGAAUGCAUCCAAAACUGGCGAGCUAGAGUAGGGCAGAAGGUGGUGGAAUUUCCCGUGUAGCGGUGAAAUGCGGAGGUAUAGGAAGGAACCACAGGUGCGAAAGCGACCACCUGGGGCCAUACCGACACUGAGGUGGGGAAGCGUGGGGAGCAAACAGG
RNAcentral lists this ribosomal RNA (429 nucleotides) under Pseudomonadota bacterium. Its description in RNAcentral is "Proteobacteria bacterium partial 16S ribosomal RNA". It matches the Rfam family "Bacterial small subunit ribosomal RNA", at positions 355 to 776 of the family's 1533-position model. Lineage: Bacteria; Pseudomonadati; Pseudomonadota. The record is from RNAcentral.